CCAAGGGUUUGGCUGUUCGCCAAUUAAAAAGUUACGCGAGCUGGGUUCAGACCGUCGAGAAGCGAAGCUUCUCGACAAAUAACAAGUAAAAAGUCUUGUUUCGCGAUUCGACAGUCUGAAUCAAAACAAAACAUAGAGUUUUUUCGUCUAUGAAAAAGAAAAGAAACCAACCACACGGCGGUCCGUGAAAAGUAAUUUUCACGAGAAAAAGUCAACUUAUAUCGGUAGAAUCCUAUCAUUUUUUUGAGGACAAUACCGAGGGAAAACUGAGUUAAAAGUUGAAAGUUCAUAAAGUUUAUAAAGUAUUAAAAAUCGCACGACGAUUUUCAAAAAACUUUUAACUUUAGAAACUUUAAAAACUUUAUAAACUCUUUUGCCCGUAGAGACUAAAUGUUGACCUCUGAUUUUUUAAAAAAUCAGACGAAGUUAUAGUCCGAUCCCGUUAGUAAUAACGGUGUUGAAAACUAUUAGUCACAAGCUAAGAGUUAUCAGCUACAUAUUGCGUGAGACAGGUUGGUCUCCUAUCUGCUGCAGGCGUUGAUUCUUGAGAAGAUUUGCUCCUAGUACGAGAGGACCGGAGUGAACUAACCUCUGGUGUACCAGCUGUUCCGCCAGGAGCACCGCUGGGUAGCUAUGUUGGGAAUGGAUAACCUCUGAAAGCAUCUAAGAGGGAAGCCAACUUCAAGAUUAGGAAUCGUUUAAGAUCCCUGAGAGAUGAUCAGGUGAUAGGCUCUAGGUGUAAGCACAGUAAUGUGUUCAGCCGAGGAGUACUAAUGCAUCGAGA
This 784-nucleotide ribosomal RNA is filed under the name Candidatus Campbelliibacteriota bacterium. RNAcentral describes it as "partial 23S ribosomal RNA". It matches the Rfam family "Bacterial large subunit ribosomal RNA", at positions 2565 to 2913 of the family's 2925-position model. Lineage: Bacteria; Candidatus Campbelliibacteriota. The record is from RNAcentral.